This 76-nucleotide microRNA precursor is filed under the name Notamacropus eugenii (tammar wallaby). Its description in RNAcentral is "miRNA (ENSMEUG00000017759.1)". The record is from RNAcentral. Lineage: Eukaryota; Metazoa; Chordata; Mammalia; Diprotodontia; Macropodidae.
GGUCUUCUGACUCCUAGCCCAGGGCUCUUAAUUUGUAUUGGCUCAUCCAUGAGGCAUAUGGCUCUGAGUCUGCAGA